UGAAGUAAGUAAGGGCGUACGGUGAAUGCCUUGGUGCCAACAGGCGAAGAAGGACGCGGCAAGCUGCGAAAAGCCUCGGGAAGCUGCAAGCAAGCGAUGAUCCGGGGAUAUCCGAAUGGGGUAACCUGAUCGAGGCAAUACUCGAUCGUUCAUACCUGAAUACAUAGGGUAUGAAACGCGAAACCCGCUGAAGUGAAACAUCUCAGUAAGCGGAGGAAAAGAAAGAGAAAUCGAUUCCGUAAGUAGUGGCGAGCGAAAGCGGAUGGAGCCCAAACCGAAGGUAUUCCUUCGGGGUUGUAGGACCACGUCAUAUUCGACCAUACUGGAUAGUAGAACAGCCUGGAAAGGCUGGCCGGAGAAGGUGAAAGCCCUGUAGACGAAAUCCAGAGUGGGAAUUAGUGGUAUCCUGAGUAAUACAUCACACGUGGAACGAUGUAUGAACCCGCGCGGACCACCGCGCAAGGCUAAAUACUAGUUGGCGACCGAUAGUGAACAAGUACCGCGAGGGAAAGGUGAAAAGAACCGCUGUGAGCGGAGUGAAAUAGAACCUGAAACCGUAUGUCUACAAAGUGUCAGAGCAGAGCAAUCUGCGAUGGCGUGCCUUUUGUUUAAUGAGUCUGCGAGUCAGUGUUUGUGGCAAGACUAAGGGCUUCCGGCCCGGAGUCGCAGCGAAAGCAAGUCCGAACAGGGCGCAAUAAGUCGCAGGUACUGGACCCGAAGCGGAGGUGACCUACCCUUGGCCAGGUUGAAGCAUGGGUAAAACCAUGUGGAGGACCGAACAGGUGAACGUUGAAAAGUUCUCUGAUGAGCUGAGGGUAGGAGUGAAAGGCUAAUCAAACCCCGUGAUAGCUGGUUCUCUUCGAAAUGCAUUUAGGUGCAGCGUCACGUGCUGAUGCGCGGGGGUAGAGCACUGACAAGGCUAGGGGGCACACCCGCUUACCAAACCUUAUCAAACUCCGAAUACCGUGCAAUGGAACGUGGCAGUGAGACAGUGGGGGAUAAGCUUCAUUGUCGAGAGGGAAACAACCCAGACCAGCAGCUAAGGUGCCUAAAUAACGCUCAGUGGAAAGGAUGUGGGAUUACACAGACAGUGAGGAUGUUGGCUUAGAAGCAGCCACCAUUUAAAAAAUGCGUAAUAGCUUACUCAUCGAGUGAUCCUGCGCCGAAAAUGAUUGGCGAUCAAGCGUUAUACCGAAGCUCUGGACUUUGCCGCAAGGCAGAGUGGUAGAAGAGCGUUGCAUGCGCGUCGAAGGGCGAUGGCGACUGACCCUGGAGCACAUGCAAGUGAGUAUGCAGACAUGAGUAACGUUAAGCCGGGUGAAAUCCCCGGCCGCCGUAAACCCGAGGUUUCCAGGGCAACGUGUUUCGUCCCUGGGUUAGCCGGGACCUAAGCCGAGGCCGAGAGGCGUAGGCGAUGGACAUCAGGUUAAUAAUCCUGAGCUCGCAACCCUUAAACUGGGGGGACGCAUGAGAAAAGAUGACUAGGUUAUUGAAUUCCGAGUUGAGUCCACGGACUCAGCGCAUCAUUGGAUCGAGUGCCAAGAAAAGCCCCAGCGUAUGCUAAGCGACCCGUACCGCAAACCGACACAGGUGGGUGGGUAGAAUAUACCAAGGCGUAAGAGUGAAACCUGGUUAAGGAACUCGGCAAAUUGACCCCGUAACUUCGGAAGAAGGGGUGCCUGCAGCGAUGCAGGCCGCAGAGAAAUGGCCCAACCGACUGUUUAUCAAAAACACAGCACUCUGCAAAGACGCAAGUCGAAGUAUAGGGUGUGACACGUGACCAAUGCCGAAAGAUUAAGGCAAGGGGUUAGCCGCAAGGCGAAGCUCUAAACCCAAGUCCCGGUGAAUGUCGGCCGUAACUAUAACGGUCCUAAGGUAGCGAAAUUCCUUGUCGGGUAAGUUCCG
Molecule: ribosomal RNA, 1905 nt
Filed under: human gut metagenome
Description: bacterial LSU rRNA
Rfam family: Bacterial large subunit ribosomal RNA
Source: RNAcentral